This is a long non-coding RNA of Esox lucius (northern pike), 1462 nucleotides long. The record is from Ensembl. NCBI's taxonomy places the organism in Eukaryota, Metazoa, Chordata, Actinopteri, Esociformes, Esocidae.
CCAGAGCGUAGCCUACAGUCUUGGUUCCCAUAUGCUCUACGCUAUGGGCUACAGGCUCGACCCUAUGGUAUGAACGCUCGACCCUAUGGUCAAUACCUAGAAUAGAAUUUUGCAUUUGCAAAACACUACAGAAAAUAUGUACAAAAUGUAAGCUAUCUCUGAACCGGACGGACAGUUAGGUGGCACAGCUACAUACGUGACACAAGAACACACUGGAUAUUAUGAUGCGACGCGUCUUGAACAUUCCGCCCUCUCGCUAUAAGAAAGGAAAACGAGCUCAAAUACUGCACCUGGGAAUGAAGAAUGAGGCGUUGGGGUAGACUGAGAGGGAGAAAUGGAAAAUAUACCUCUCCGCUCCCCUCUCCCUCUUUUCUUGGAAUGUAUUUCUCAGUCUUCUUACCCUCGUUUUUUCUAUGUCACUCUCCCCUCCCUCUCUUUUCCCUGUGCUCAGAAUACUAAGCGGGCUACGUCUCUGCUUGCUGACUAUGUAGCGCUACCAGUGCUAAAUACAUACUGAUGUAGGCUGUAUGUGGGGUAGAGAGGGGAGAGUAGAGCAGAGCGCGGGGAGGGGAAGGUAGAUGGUGUGAGAAGAGGGUGUUGCUAGAGGCGAGGAAACGGAUGGUGCGAUGGGGACCACUGUUUUCUCGGCCCACCGCCAAAGGGACACGGCUUAUGUGCCAUGGAGACCGGACGAGUGCCCCCAGUGAUAACGCGCAGCACCUCGUUAGGAUGAAAUCAUGGUGUCGUGAUUAUUUCCCUUUUGUGUGUCUACCUUUCCAACGGUGAGACACGAUGUAGCCUCAGGCAUUCCACUGUAUAUGGUUGAAAAGCGUAUAACUUUCCCCAAAUACUUUUUUCUUCUGAAAUCCAUCUAGAAUAGAAAAUAAUCCAUAAUCCUCCAAAGAUUUUGGCGAAGUCUGCGGAAUGUUGCCACCAUAAGAGUCUAAAUUUCUAGGGUUGCACAGCUACGCCGGAGACAACCUAUGAGACCGUAAGCUACUUGAGAGAGCUAAUUGAAGCUGUGUCUAGGCGUUGCAGGCUAGCGUCUAAAGUUAUAUAAGCCUUUCCUCUCAUAUUCCAAGUUAGUAAUGGUAUUCUAGUUAUGGUUUAUAUAGGGGUAUUACCUACCGUGCUAAUUAGGGCUACACUUCCUUUAGGAUUAAACGUUCUGUUUUGUUCCUGUUCCAGUUCCAAAUGUCUUUGAAGUAGUAAAAUGUCUUGUUCUUUGGUCGGAAAUGUACACUAUCUACAACAUUUUAAAACUGUUAGUUGAAUGUUUGUCCAUAGCAGGACAGAUAUCCUCUAUGCUGACCUUGCCCACUGUGUAAAUAGCACUGCUCAGCAUUUCAAGCAUAAGGUAAAAUUAUCAGAAUAGCAUACCCAUCUAGGGCCUGUGCUUUAACUGGAGGAAUCUGUGAGCACCCGAACACACAGAGGAUGGUACAGUAAUGCUUGCUCUUUG